GACGAACGCUGGCGGCGUGCCUAAUACAUGCAAGUUGAGCGAUGAAGAUUGGUGCUUGCACCAAUUUGAAGAGCAGCGAACGGGUGAGUAACGCGUGGGGAAUCUGCCCUUGAGCGGGGGACAACAUUUGGAAACGAAUGCUAAUACCGCAUAACAACUUUAAACAUAAGUUUUAAGUUUGAAAGAUGCAAUUGCAUCACUCAAAGAUGAUCCCGCGUUGUAUUAGCUAGUUGGUGAGGUAAAGGCUCACCAAGGCGAUGAUACAUAGCCGACCUGAGAGGGUGAUCGGCCACAUUGGGACUGAGACACGGCCCAAACUCCUACGGGAGGCAGCAGUAGGGAAUCUUCGGCAAUGGACGAAAGUCUGACCGAGCAACGCCGCGGGAGGGAAGAAGGUUUUCGGAUCGUAAAACUCUGUUGGUAGGGAAGAACGUUGGUGAGAGUGGAAAGCUCAUCAAGUGACGGUAACUACCCAGAAAGGGACGGCUAACUACGUG
Molecule: ribosomal RNA, 497 nt
Filed under: uncultured bacterium
Lineage: Bacteria
Description: partial 16S ribosomal RNA
Rfam family: Bacterial small subunit ribosomal RNA
Source: RNAcentral